UACGGAGGGUGCGAGCGUUGUCCGGAAUCAUUGGGCGUAAAGGGCGCGUAGGUGGCCCGGUCAGUUCGUGGUGAAAGCGCGGGGCUCAACCCUGCGUCGGCCAUGAAUACUGCCGCGGCUGGAGCACUGUAGAGGCAGGCGGAAUUCCUGGUGUAGCGGUGAAAUGCGCAGAUAUCAGGAGGAACACCGGUGGCGAAGGCGGGUCUCUGGGCCGUAACUGACGCUGAGGAGCGAAAGCGUGGGGAGCGAACAGG
RNAcentral lists this ribosomal RNA (254 nucleotides) under uncultured bacterium. RNAcentral's name for it is "partial 16S ribosomal RNA". It matches the Rfam family "Bacterial small subunit ribosomal RNA", at positions 524 to 776 of the family's 1533-position model. The record is from RNAcentral.